GAUGAACGCUGGCGGCGUGCCUAAUACAUGCAAGUCGAGCGAACAGACGAGGAGCUUGCUCCUCUGACGUUAGCGGCGGACGGGUGAGUAACACGUGGAUAACCUACCUAUAAGACUGGGAUAACUUCGGGAAACCGGAGCUAAUACCGGAUAAUAUAUUGAACCGCAUAGUUCAAUAGUGAAAGACGGUUUUGCUGUCACUUAUAGAUGGAUCCGCGCCGCAUUAGCUAGUUGGUAAGGUAACGGCUUACCAAGGCAACGAUGCGUAGCCGACCUGAGAGGGUGAUCGGCCACACUGGAACUGAGACACGGUCCAGACUCCUACGGGAGGCAGCAGUAGGGAAUCUUCCGCAAUGGGCGAAAGCCUGACGGAGCAACGCCGCGUGAGUGAUGAAGGUCUUCGGAUCGUAAAACUCUGUUAUUAGGGAAGAACAAAUGUGUAAGUAACUAUGCACGUCUUGACGGUACCUAAUCAGAAAGCCACGGCUGACUACGUG
This 497-nucleotide ribosomal RNA is filed under the name uncultured bacterium. Its description in RNAcentral is "partial 16S ribosomal RNA". It matches the Rfam family "Bacterial small subunit ribosomal RNA", at positions 28 to 507 of the family's 1533-position model. The record is from RNAcentral.